UUUUUUUUUUUUGGCAAACUGGCAACUUUAGCAACCUUAUUACCUUCUAUUGAGAAGGUUUCAGUUUGGAUCUUUUCCAAAUUGAAAUGGCCCCAGUUUCAGUUAAAAAAUAUAUGCUUACGAUUAGGUUAAAAAAAUGAAGCCAGAUGCAUUUUCUAGAAACCUCUGCUGCAUUAGAUGCCACAAAGAAAGGAAAGAAAACAAAAUGCACAUAUUCAAAAUUUCUCACUCAUUUGUAUCAAAG
RNAcentral lists this unclassified non-coding RNA (244 nucleotides) under Hevea brasiliensis (rubber tree). Lineage: Eukaryota; Viridiplantae; Streptophyta; Magnoliopsida; Malpighiales; Euphorbiaceae. The record is from RNAcentral.